RNAcentral lists this long non-coding RNA (704 nucleotides) under Lathyrus oleraceus (garden pea). RNAcentral's name for it is "Pisum sativum (pea) long non-coding RNA (PSAT_LNC017749)". Lineage: Eukaryota; Viridiplantae; Streptophyta; Magnoliopsida; Fabales; Fabaceae. The record is from RNAcentral.
AAAUAUGAUUUUUAUAUGUUUAAAAAUGGUUUUAAAUGAAUGGUGAAAUUAAGAGAAAACAAAUUUGCAUUAUUAACAAAUGAAACUAUGAGUAUAAUAAAGGCAUAAAAAGAAAUGAAAAUGCUAAAAUAAAAUAAAAUAGCUAAAAGAAAUAAAAUGCCAAAAAAAAUGCUAUACAUGAGUAUUGAACCCACCCCACUCAAGACUAUGAUACUACCCUUCUCCACACGACCACUCAUGGUUAGUUAUUAUUUGAUGUUACUUUAAAUAUAUGAACCAAAAUAGAUUAAACAUUAGAAUAAAAACUAAAAAAAAAAAAAAAAGUCUGUUGGACUACCAGUAGUUAAACCCAGCCGCCUGGCUGUUGGGUUUUUCCAGGGAAUAUGAAUUGAAAAUAUGGAAACAUUUAUUAACUAAUAUUAACUAAAUCUUAGGUUUAAACAAACUUUUAAUGGUUUCAAAAGAACUUAUUUUGUUUAAAACGAAUUAAAGAAAAAAGGAAAAAAAACAAAUUGGUAACAGGAUCGUUCUCCUUGUUCUCUCUCAAUCUCCCAAAUUCGCUCUCUAAAUCUCACGAACCUCUCACUCGCAACUUAGCCUUUCGUUUUCAACUUCUCAUCUCCCUCACGAAAUCUCUUCUCUCAUCGCGACCUCACCGAAUCCUCUCACGCUCUCAAACUCAAAGAAUCACUCUCUCUCAACUC